GCGCUUCAGCAGCACAGCUAUGACAAUUGGAAUGAUACAGGGAAGAUUAACGUGGCCCCAUGCAAAGAUGAAAUGCACGUUUUUAGACAUUCUGUAUUUCUGA
Molecule: small nuclear RNA, 103 nt
Filed under: Sorex araneus (European shrew)
Lineage: Eukaryota; Metazoa; Chordata; Mammalia; Eulipotyphla; Soricidae
Source: RNAcentral